UACGUAGGGGGCAAGCGUUAUCCGGAAUUACUGGGUGUAAAGGGAGCGUAGACGGUUAAGUAAGUCUGGAGUGAAAGGCCGGGGCUCAACCCCGCUCCGCCGUUGAAACUGUGUCCCUUGAGUGCGCGAAGGGUAGGCGGAAUGCGUGGUGUAGCGGUGAAAUGCAUAGAUAUCACGCAGAACUCCGAUCGCGAAGGCAGCCUACCGGCGCGCUACUGACGCUCAUGCACGAAAGCGUGGGUAUCGAACAGG
This 252-nucleotide ribosomal RNA is filed under the name uncultured Bacteroidales bacterium. RNAcentral describes it as "partial 16S ribosomal RNA". It matches the Rfam family "Bacterial small subunit ribosomal RNA", at positions 524 to 776 of the family's 1533-position model. Lineage: Bacteria; Pseudomonadati; Bacteroidota; Bacteroidia; Bacteroidales. The record is from RNAcentral.